Molecule: ribosomal RNA, 200 nt
Filed under: uncultured bacterium
Lineage: Bacteria
Description: partial 16S ribosomal RNA
Rfam family: Bacterial small subunit ribosomal RNA
Source: RNAcentral
UACGGAGGGUACGAACGUUAAUCGGAAUUACUGGGCGUAAAGCGCGCGUAGGCGGUCUGAUAAGUGGGAUGUGAAAGCCCCGGGCUUAACCUGGGAACUGCAUUCCAAACUGUCAGACUAGAGUAUGGUAGAGGCUGGUAGAAUUUCCUGUGUAGCGGUGAAAUGCGUAGAUAUAGGAAGGAAUACCGAUGGCGAAGGCA